This 247-nucleotide ribosomal RNA is filed under the name uncultured Trichoderma. RNAcentral's name for it is "partial large subunit ribosomal RNA". It matches the Rfam family "Eukaryotic large subunit ribosomal RNA", at positions 40 to 291 of the family's 3401-position model. Lineage: Eukaryota; Fungi; Ascomycota; Sordariomycetes; Hypocreales; Hypocreaceae. The record is from RNAcentral.
AUAUCAAUGAGCGGAGGAAAAGAAACCAACAGGGAUUGCCUCAGUAACGGCGAGUGAAGCGGCAACAGCUCAAAUUUGAAAUCUGGCCUCGUGCCCGAGUUGUAAUUUGUAGAGGAUGCUUUCGGCGCGGCGCCUCCCGAGUGCCCUGGAACGGGACGCCACAGAGGGUGAGAGCCCCGUAUGGUAGGACGCCUAGCCUCUGUAAAGCUCCUUCGACGAGUCGAGUAGUUUGGGAAUGCUGCUCAAA